This 418-nucleotide ribosomal RNA is filed under the name Modisimus cuadro. RNAcentral's name for it is "partial 16S ribosomal RNA". The record is from RNAcentral. Lineage: Eukaryota; Metazoa; Arthropoda; Arachnida; Araneae; Pholcidae.
AUUUUUUUGAGCUUAUUUAUUCAAAAUAAAACCUGCUCAAUGUUUAAUUUUAUAAAUAGCUGCAGAUUUUCUGUACUAAGGUAGCAUAAUCAUUAGCCUUAUAAUUGAAGGAUAGAAUGAAUGGUUUAACGCAAUAUAUACUGUUUCUAGCAUUUUAUUUAAAUUAAAAUAAAAGUAAAAAUUCUUUUAUAAAUAAAAAAGACAACAAGACCCUAAUAAACUUAUUAUUUAACUGGGGUGGUAUAUUAAUAAUUACUUAAAUUCUAACAUAAUUAAUCUAAUAUAAUUAAUUUAUAUAGUUACUAUAGGGAUAACAGCGCUACUUUAAUUUAAAGAUCUCAUUAAAAUUAAAAUCUACGACCUCGAUGUUGAAUUAACUAACCUUUAAUUAAAGCAAAAUUUUUAAAAGAGGGUCUGU